UUUUCUCAGGGAAUAAGCAAGUGAAGGUACCUGAGGAAUCAGCAUCGGCUAACUCCGUGCCAGCAGCCGCGGUAAUACGGAGGAUGCAAGCGUUAUCCGGAAUGAUUGGGCGUAAAGCGUCCGUAGGUAGCAGUGUGUGUCUAUUGUUAAAGAGUUUGGCUUAACCAAAUAAGGGCGGUAGAAACUACACAGCUAGAGUGCGUUCGGGGCAGAGGGAAUUCCUGGUGUAGCGGUGAAAUACGUAGAGAUCAGGAAGAACACCGGUGGCGAAAGCGCUCUGCUAGGCCGCAACUGACACUGGAGGGAACCSCCGUCCA
RNAcentral lists this ribosomal RNA (317 nucleotides) under Westiellopsis prolifica VB511285. Its description in RNAcentral is "bacterial SSU rRNA". It matches the Rfam family "Bacterial small subunit ribosomal RNA", at positions 434 to 767 of the family's 1533-position model. Lineage: Bacteria; Bacillati; Cyanobacteriota; Cyanophyceae; Nostocales; Hapalosiphonaceae. The record is from RNAcentral.